ACCAUUUUUCUAUCGAUAGAUGUAUCUUAUAGAGAGAUACUAAUUUAUUUACAAAGUUUUUAUUCAUUCAUAAAUAUACUUUUAAUUACAACUUUUGAUAAUGUUGUAUAUCGUGUUUAGGUUCCUAUGCAAAUUGAAGUCUUAUUGUCGUAAUAAGUAUUAUCCAGAAUGAUCAAUUGCUGAAGGUUACUUAGCUGAGGAAUGUAUAACUUUCUGCUCUAGAUAUUUAGAAGAUGUUGAAACAAGACUGGAUAGGCCAAGUAGAAAUGUUGGGCUCACUAAUCAUAACUUAG
RNAcentral lists this long non-coding RNA (293 nucleotides) under Gossypium raimondii (Peruvian cotton). Its description in RNAcentral is "long non-coding RNA (GRAI_LNC010666)". The record is from RNAcentral. Lineage: Eukaryota; Viridiplantae; Streptophyta; Magnoliopsida; Malvales; Malvaceae.